CCUACGGGUGGCAGCAGUGGGGAAUAUUGGACAAUGGGCGAAAGCCUGAUCCAGCCAUGCCGCGUGCGUGAAGAAGGCCUUCGGGUUGUAAAGCACUUUCAGUGGGGAAGAAAGCCUUGGGGCUAAUACCCUCGAGGAAGGACAUCACCCACAGAAGAAGCACCGGCUAACUCCGUGCCAGCAGCCGCGGUAAUACGGAGGGUGCGAGCGUUAAUCGGAAUUACUGGGCGUAAAGCGCGCGUAGGCGGUCUGAUAAGCCGGUUGUGAAAGCCCCGGGCUCAACCUGGGAACGGCAUCCGGAACUGUCAGGCUAGAGUGCAGGAGAGGAAGGUAGAAUUCCCGGUGUAGCGGUGAAAUGCGUAGAGAUCGGGAGGAAUACCAGUGGCGAAGGCGGCCUUCUGGACUGACACUGACGCUGAGGUGCGAAAGCGUGGGUAGCAAACAGGAUUAGAUACCCAGUAGUC
This 464-nucleotide ribosomal RNA is filed under the name Vreelandella stevensii. RNAcentral describes it as "partial 16S ribosomal RNA". It matches the Rfam family "Bacterial small subunit ribosomal RNA", at positions 338 to 795 of the family's 1533-position model. The record is from RNAcentral. Lineage: Bacteria; Pseudomonadati; Pseudomonadota; Gammaproteobacteria; Oceanospirillales; Halomonadaceae.